RNAcentral lists this ribosomal RNA (253 nucleotides) under uncultured bacterium. RNAcentral's name for it is "partial 16S ribosomal RNA". It matches the Rfam family "Bacterial small subunit ribosomal RNA", at positions 524 to 776 of the family's 1533-position model. The record is from RNAcentral.
UACAGAGGUCUCGAGCGUUGUUCGGAUUCAUUGGGCGUAAAGGGCGCGUAGGCGGCGGGGCAAGUCGGGUGUGAAAUCUCAGAGCUCAACUCUGAAACUGCACUCGAUACUGCUUUGCUUGAGGACUGGAGAGGAGAUUGGAAUUCACGGUGUAGCAGUGAAAUGCGUAGAUAUCGGGAGGAACACCUGAGGCGAAGGCGGGCUACUGGGCCGAUACUGACGCUGAUGCGCGAAAGCCAGGGGAGCGAACGGG